Molecule: non-coding RNA, 650 nt
Organism: Paramuricea clavata
Lineage: Eukaryota; Metazoa; Cnidaria; Anthozoa; Malacalcyonacea; Plexauridae
Source: the annotation of a GenBank genome assembly
CGCCCGUGGACAUCCUGAAACAUGCUUAAAAAUGUUUCCCUGCAUUCGAAUGAAUUCAAAUGAUUCCUAUGUGCGUGCCAGAUAUUCAUAUAUUCUCCUGCUUUUGGCUUUGGUCAUUUCAAUGAGCUAAACAACUUUAUACAGGGUGUCCCAAAAAACCUCAAAACUAUUGAAAUAAUUAUACGUAUAGUCAGAAUUUGUAUGCCCUAGCACUAAGUCGAACGCAAAGAUGCGUAAAAUAUUGACAGGGUGCAUAUAUUAUAAAUGUUGACUUAUCAAAAUAUUUGAAAUAUUUGCACGAUUUUCUGCUCUUGGGAAUUUAAAGCAACUUCUUAAACAGUUUAUUUAUGUAUAAAAUUUACUUAUGUCAAGAUUUUACGCACUUCAAAUUCUAACAAUAUAUUAUUUCAAUAGUUUUGGGGGUUUUGGCACACCGUGUAUAAUAACCUUAAGAAUUUCUGCGAUUACAUUGGUCGAGAGCCAUGAUCUAUUACAGGACAGAAGCACGGAAUAUGUAUUAGAUUUUAAAAUGUCGAAAAUAUUUGAAACUUCCACUGAAUUUAUACAAGUUGAAUGAAUUCAUGCAAUUAAAUCUAUAAACGUCAAUAAAUACCUUCGAUAAAUGUGCAAAAAUCACUGACACAAGCUAG